RNAcentral lists this ribosomal RNA (254 nucleotides) under Brucella abortus str. 2308 A. Its description in RNAcentral is "23S ribosomal RNA". It matches the Rfam family "Bacterial large subunit ribosomal RNA", at positions 2661 to 2925 of the family's 2925-position model. The record is from RNAcentral. Lineage: Bacteria; Pseudomonadati; Pseudomonadota; Alphaproteobacteria; Hyphomicrobiales; Brucellaceae.
AUUGACAGGAUCUGUCCCUAGUACGAGAGGACCGGGAUGGACGUAUCUCUGGUGGACCUGUUGUGGCGCCAGCCGCAUAGCAGGGUAGCUAUAUACGGACGGGAUAACCGCUGAAGGCAUCUAAGCGGGAAACCCACCUGAAAACGAGUAUUCCCUAUCAGAGCCGUGGAAGACCACCACGUUGAUAGGCCGGGUGUGGAAGUGCGGCAACGCAUGCAGCUUACCGGUACUAAUAGCUCGAUCGACUUGAUCAC